UACAGAGGUCCCAAGCGUUGUUCGGAUUCACUGGGCGUAAAGGGUGCGUAGGUGGUGAGGUAAGUCGGAUGUGAAAGCUCGGAGCUCAACUCCGAAAUGGCAUUGGAAACUACCUUGCUCGAGGGAUGGAGGGGGGACUGGAAUUCUCGGUGUAGCAGUGAAAUGCGUAGAUAUCGUGAGGAACACCAGAGGCGAAGGCGGCUACCUGGACAAUUGCUGACGCUCAGGCACGAAAGCGUGGGGAGCAAAAGGG
RNAcentral lists this ribosomal RNA (253 nucleotides) under uncultured bacterium. RNAcentral's name for it is "partial 16S ribosomal RNA". It matches the Rfam family "Bacterial small subunit ribosomal RNA", at positions 524 to 776 of the family's 1533-position model. The record is from RNAcentral.